RNAcentral lists this transfer RNA (71 nucleotides) under Candidatus Woesearchaeota archaeon. RNAcentral describes it as "tRNA-Trp". It matches the Rfam family "tRNA". Rfam says of the family: Transfer RNA (tRNA) molecules are approximately 80 nucleotides in length. Their secondary structure includes four short double-helical elements and three loops (D, anti-codon, and T loops). Further hydrogen bonds mediate the characteristic L-shaped molecular structure. tRNAs have two regions of fundamental functional importance: the anti-codon, which is responsible for specific mRNA codon recognition, and the 3' end, to which the tRNAs corresponding amino acid is attached (by aminoacyl-tRNA synthetases). tRNAs cope with the degeneracy of the genetic code in two manners: having more than one tRNA (with a specific anti-codon) for a particular amino acid; and 'wobble' base-pairing, i.e. permitting non-standard base-pairing at the 3rd anti-codon position. Lineage: Archaea; Nanobdellati; Candidatus Woesearchaeota. The record is from RNAcentral.
GGGGCCAUGGGGUAACGGCAGCCUAGCAGGCUCCAGACCUGCGGACGUGGGUUCGACUCCCACUGGCCCCA